CCUACGGGAGGCAGCAGUGGGGAAUCUUGCGCAAUGGGCGAAAGCCUGACGCAGCAACGCCGCGUGCGGGAAGAAGGCUUUCGGGCUGUAAACCGCUUUCAGCAGGAACGAAAAUGACGGUACCUGCAGAAGAAGGAGCGGCCAACUAUGUGCCAGCAGCCGCGGUGAUACAUAGGCUUCAAGCGUUGUCCGGAUUUAUUGGGCGUAAAGAGUUCGUAGGCGGUCGAGUAAGUCGGGUGUGAAAAUUCUGGGCUCAACCCAGAGACGCCACCCGAUACUGCUUGACUUGAGUUCGAUAGGGGAGUGGGGAAUUCCUAGUGUAGCGGUGAAAUGCGCAGAUAUUAGGAGGAACACCGGUGGCGAAGGCGCCACUCUGGAUCGAUACUGACGCUGAGGAACGAAAGCAUGGGUAGCAAACAGGAUUAGAUACCCUGGUAGUCCAUGCCGUAAACGGUGGGCACUAGGUGUGGGUUUCUAUUAACGAAAUCCGCGCCGUCGCUAACGCAUUAAGUGCCCCGCCUGGGGAGUACGGUCGCGAGACUAAACUACAAUAGAAGUAGACGGCGUGAGACGUGCCGACGGACGACGACGAGGGAGGUAGG
Molecule: ribosomal RNA, 602 nt
Filed under: uncultured bacterium
Lineage: Bacteria
Description: bacterial SSU rRNA
Rfam family: Bacterial small subunit ribosomal RNA
Source: RNAcentral